RNAcentral lists this ribosomal RNA (497 nucleotides) under uncultured bacterium. RNAcentral describes it as "partial 16S ribosomal RNA". It matches the Rfam family "Bacterial small subunit ribosomal RNA", at positions 30 to 523 of the family's 1533-position model. The record is from RNAcentral.
AUUGAACGCUGGCGGCAUGCUUUACACAUGCAAGUCGAACGGUAACAGGCCGCAAGGUGCUGACGAGUGGCGAACGGGUGAGUAAUGCAUCGGAACGUGCCCAGUCGUGGGGGAUAACGUAGCGAAAGCUGUGCUAAUACCGCAUACGAUCUAUGGAUGAAAGCGGGGGACCGUAAGGCCUCGCGCGAUUGGACCGGCUGAUGUCAGAUUAGGCAGUUGGUGGGGUAAAGGCUCACCAAGCCAACGAUCUGUAGCUGGUCUGGGAGGACGACCAGCCACACUGGGACUGAGACACGGCCCAGACUACUACGGGAGGCAGCAGUGGGGAAUUUUGGACAAUGGGCGCAAGCCUGAUCCAGCAAUGCCGCGUGCAGGAAGAAGGCCUUCGGGUUGUAAACUGCUUUUGUACGGAACGAAAAGGUUUGGGUUAAUACCCUGGGCCGAUGACGGUACCGUAGAAUAAGCACCGGCUAACUACGUGCCAGCCGCCGCCGUAA